UUGUUUAUCUUGUCAAACCCUAGCCGCCUACAACAUUUCAGUAAAACCAUACCCAGUCAUCCACCAUUCUCCGACCACCAUCCCGUUUUGUUCCACGACGUCGUUUUGUCAGUAGGCACCGGCACAACUUGGAUGAUUAUAGGACAGCCUUAUCUCCCAUUUUCUCAUGAAGAGAUUGGUUUUGCAUUUAAAGGCUUUGAUGAUGAGAAUGGAUUUAUAGUUACACGGUUGGUUAUGGUGUACAAAGUUGUGAGCCUUUUUGUUCGUGUCUUGUUAGUGGACUAGCAAGUGGUUGGUGAGCAAUCGUCCAAACCGAAGUCGACUAAGUGCACGCCAAUCGAAGAAGAAGGCUUAGCCAAGGCUUACAUAGCACGUCUAACAACAAGACAAAAGGUAAUAAUCAAACGGGUGACGGGUUUUGGUCCAAGGUUUUGGCGAAGUUCCUCGACCUUAUGGACCAAGGCCCGUAUCGUGAUAUCGACUCGGUGUCGUCAAAGUGGCGGAAAUUGAACUCGUCCGUCAAUAGGUUUUGCGAGGAAUAUAAUAAAAUAUAUACAAGUGGGCGUCGUAGCGGCAUGAGCGACGACGAUGUUUUCAAACAAGCUUUCGACAAGUAUAAGGCGAACAAUGGUAAUACCAACUUUGCUCACGUUCGCGCGUGGGAAAUUAUGAAAAAGGAACCGAAAUGGUCGCCGAUUCCCAACGAGGUGGAGAUGGCGAAACGCCAAAAAACAUCGGAAACGGGUAGUUUUAGCGCCGGUGGAUCGGACGCGAGGUGUCACAUAAACUUAAAUGAUGACGCCGACCACAAGUGCUAUAAAUGUAUUUUUAACUUGUUUCAAAAAUGUAAAUUUCGCCACGACUUUAUUUACAAAAUAUCGGAGAUGGGAUUUUCACAAAAUAAAACGUGAUAAAUAUAUAUAUAUAUUUAGUAUA
Helianthus annuus (common sunflower) is the source of this 936-nucleotide long non-coding RNA. RefSeq lists it as uncharacterized. NCBI's taxonomy places the organism in Eukaryota, Viridiplantae, Streptophyta, Magnoliopsida, Asterales, Asteraceae. The transcript has 3 exons. The record is from RefSeq and is a predicted model, not a curated record.